This 215-nucleotide long non-coding RNA is filed under the name Elaeis guineensis (African oil palm). RNAcentral describes it as "long non-coding RNA (EGUI_LNC069891)". Lineage: Eukaryota; Viridiplantae; Streptophyta; Magnoliopsida; Arecales; Arecaceae. The record is from RNAcentral.
AGAGCCCUAAUUCAGUUGAGAUCUUCUCGAGCCGUAGGGACCCUCCAAAUCGUCACUGUCUUCGUCCCUCUGGUCCCUCAGAGCGAUCUAGGUUAGUUCCAGCACCUUCAUCUUUCUUCCCGCCGCUUAGGGACCUCCUUUUUGCCAUUAUUUUUUGGUGUUCCCCCCAGUUAGUUUCCUGUGACCCCUCGCCCCUCAUCCUGUCCGUCUUCACC